AUCUAACUGACGAGUCCCAAAUAGGGCGAAACGUGAGUCCUGGAU
This 45-nucleotide non-coding RNA is filed under the name Schistosoma margrebowiei. Lineage: Eukaryota; Metazoa; Platyhelminthes; Trematoda; Strigeidida; Schistosomatidae. The record is from RNAcentral.